UACGUAGGUGGCAAGCGUUGUCCGGAAUUAUUGGGCGUAAAGCGCGCGCCGGUGGUUUCUUAAGUCUGAUGUGAAAGCCCACGGCUCAACCGUGGAGGGUCAUUGGAAACUGGGGAACUUGAGUGCAGAAGAGGAAAGUGGAAUUCCAAGUGUAGCGGUGAAAUGCGUAGAGAUUUGGAGGAACACCAGUGGCGAAGGCGACUGUCGGGUCUGUAACUGACACUGAGGCGCGAAAGCUAGGGGAGCGAACGGG
RNAcentral lists this ribosomal RNA (253 nucleotides) under uncultured bacterium. RNAcentral's name for it is "partial 16S ribosomal RNA". It matches the Rfam family "Bacterial small subunit ribosomal RNA", at positions 524 to 776 of the family's 1533-position model. The record is from RNAcentral.